RNAcentral lists this transfer RNA (88 nucleotides) under Dethiosulfovibrio peptidovorans. RNAcentral describes it as "tRNA-Ser". It matches the Rfam family "tRNA". Rfam says of the family: Transfer RNA (tRNA) molecules are approximately 80 nucleotides in length. The record is from RNAcentral. Lineage: Bacteria; Thermotogati; Synergistota; Synergistia; Synergistales; Dethiosulfovibrionaceae.
GGAGGGGUGUCCGAGUGGUCGAAGGUGCUUGCUUGGAGAGCAGGUGUGCCGUAAGGUACCGUGGGUUCGAAUCCCACCCUCUCCGCCA